GCUGACCACAGGCAGGAACACCUUAAGCCACCAUGGGAUGGAAAACCAAGAAACAAAUGCAAGAUACACCAGCCACAGGACUCACAAUAGGGGAAAUAUGGCGGCAGGCAUGUGGCCCGAGCAGAUCCAAUAUGGCGGCGCUCCACGGAGGCUGCACGGAUUUCUCAGAUCAUUAUUCAGGGGACGAAGAAACCCAGCAAAUCCAGGAAAGACCCUGAUGCCAAACUGGUGACUACUGGGGUACUGAAGUCCCUGCUAGCAGACCUACAGAAAAACAUCCUAGCGGAUGUCAUCGCACUAAGGGGAGAGCUGCAGGGCCUGACAGGCCGCAUCACAGCGCUAGAGGAAUCCUCCCAAGAACAGCAGCGCACCAUAACCUCGCUGCAGAACGACAUGCGGGACCUGCGCCGCCAAAAUGAGCUGUAUGAACGGCGCUUCGCAGCCCAGGAGGACACUAGACGAAGACUCAACAUAAAGGUCAGGGGGAUUUCGGAGGGGUUACCAGGGAAGGAUUUGCCGCGCACGAUCAAGCGCAUACUAACC
Pelobates cultripes (western spadefoot toad) is the source of this 543-nucleotide non-coding RNA. The record is from the annotation of a GenBank genome assembly. Lineage: Eukaryota; Metazoa; Chordata; Amphibia; Anura; Pelobatidae.